Molecule: ribosomal RNA, 874 nt
Filed under: uncultured Acinetobacter sp.
Lineage: Bacteria; Pseudomonadati; Pseudomonadota; Gammaproteobacteria; Moraxellales; Moraxellaceae
Description: bacterial SSU rRNA
Rfam family: Bacterial small subunit ribosomal RNA
Source: RNAcentral
UUAACACAUGCAAGUCGAGCGGGGAGAUGUAGCUUGCUACAUUUCCUAGCGGCGGACGGGUGAGUAAUGCUUAGGAAUCUGCCUAUUAGUGGGGGACAACAUUCCGAAAGGAAUGCUAAUACCGCAUACGCCCUACGGGGGAAAGCAGGGGAUCUUCGGACCUUGCGCUAAUAGAUGAGCCUAAGUCAGAUUAGCUAGUUGGUGGGGUAAAGGCCUACCAAGGCGACGAUCUGUAGCGGGUCUGAGAGGAUGAUCCGCCACACUGGGACUGAGACACGGCCCAGACUCCUACGGGAGGCAGCAGUGGGGAAUAUUGGACAAUGGGCGCAAGCCUGAUCCAGCCAUGCCGCGUGUGUGAAGAAGGCCUUUUGGUUGUAAAGCACUUUAAGCGAGGAGGAGGCUACUUGGAUUAAUACUCUAGGAUAGUGGACGUUACUCGCAGAAUAAGCACCGGCUAACUCUGUGCCAGCAGCCGCGGUAAUACAGAGGGUGCGAGCGUUAAUCGGAUUUACUGGGCGUAAAGCGUGCGUAGGCGGCUUCUUAAGUCGGAUGUGAAAUCCCUGAGCUUAACUUAGGAAUUGCAUUCGAUACUGGGAAGCUAGAGUAUGGGAGAGGAUGGUAGAAUUCCAGGUGUAGCGGUGAAAUGCGUAGAGAUCUGGAGGAAUAUCGAUGGCGAAGGCAGCCAUCUGGCCUAAUACUGACGCUGAGGUACGAAAGCAUGGGGAGCAAACAGGAUUAGAUACCCUGGUAGUCCAUGCCGUAAACGAUGUCUACUAGCCGUUGGGGCCUUUGAGGCUUUAGUGGCGCAGUUAACGCGAUAAGUAGACCGCCUGGGGAGUACGGUCGCAAGACUAAAACUCAAAUGAAUUGACGG